This is a long non-coding RNA of Solea senegalensis (Senegalese sole), 713 nucleotides long. RefSeq lists it as uncharacterized. The transcript has 2 exons. Lineage: Eukaryota; Metazoa; Chordata; Actinopteri; Pleuronectiformes; Soleidae. The record is from RefSeq and is a predicted model, not a curated record.
UUCUCCUCAGACUCACUCACACACCAACAGCUGCUUAUUUAUUUCCACUUUAAUAACGCACGGUCCUUUUUACGCACAAAGUUUAUACCUCACCUUUUUUUAUAGACCUUUGGUUUAUUAUGCUUUAAAUAAACACCAAUAGAGGGAGCGCGUCUUUAUUUUAGGGCACGUGUCUGUCUCGGUACUUUAACGCGACAUAUAAAUCAGACAUCUCGCUGCAUACAUAAGUAAUAAGAAAGACCCUCUGCUCUUUGUGCACAAUGGCCACGUCUGCCCGUGCUUGGAUAUGCCUGUCUUUUCUUCUUUUUUCUCUUUUUUUUUCUGUUUGAAAGGCAAAUUGACCUCUUAACUGUGAAACGGGACUCGGGGCCAAUCUGGCCCACAGCUCGGCGCGUGCUGAGCGGAAUCAGUGCUGCACACAAAGAAGGAAGAAGGCCGCAGAGAAACUGCACACAUCAACAAAACAGCUUACAUUUAAACGGGGACAGAGAUCCUGAGAGGCUGCAGAGCACAAAGUGACCAAAGACGACGAAGCGAUGGAAACUCACAACAGAUUCUCCUCGUGUAUCAAUCACUUCAUAUCAAGUACUGAAUCCAACACUUACUGACUUUAAUAUCUUGUUUUGCAAAAAGAUUGCAAACUGCCAGUUUGUGUUGUAUCCAAGUCUAUAUUUUUACUUCAGAGUACAAUAAAGUCUCUAUCGUCAAAGUAU